UACGGAGGGCGCAAGCGUUGUUCGGAAUCACUGGGCGUAAAGCGCGUGUAGGCGGCUUGGUAAGUCGGGUGUGAAAUCCCGGGGCUCAACGCCGGAACUGCAUCCGAUACUGCCUCGCUCGAGUCCCGGAGAGGAUGGCGGAAUUUCCGGUGUAGAGGUGAAAUUCGUAGAUAUCGGAAGGAACACCAGCGGCGAAGGCGGCCAUCUGGACGGUGACUGACGCUCAGACGCGAAAGCGUGGGGAGCAAACAGG
RNAcentral lists this ribosomal RNA (253 nucleotides) under uncultured bacterium. RNAcentral describes it as "partial 16S ribosomal RNA". It matches the Rfam family "Bacterial small subunit ribosomal RNA", at positions 524 to 776 of the family's 1533-position model. The record is from RNAcentral.